UUCAGGUCAUGCAUUUUGCCUCUUGGGGUUA
Molecule: non-coding RNA, 31 nt
Filed under: Homo sapiens (human)
Lineage: Eukaryota; Metazoa; Chordata; Mammalia; Primates; Hominidae
Source: RNAcentral